UCUCUCUGAAUCUGCGUACGGCUCCGCACACCAGUUGCAAACUAUAGCAAGCAAGCCCGUCGUUUCGCCGCAAGGUGGGCGGCGGGUAGAUGGAUAACCCUGGUAAUUCUGCGGCUAAUACAAGAACGCACAACCUUGUCGACCGGGUAACUGGAAGGCGGGGGGGCGUGCUCUUUAAGUUGCAAGUAUAACCGGGAAAGGGGGCACGACAUGACCGCGCUAAAACGGAAAGUUGGUUCACUCCUUCUCACUAGCGGCUCUUGCUGUGUACUUCUGACCUAUCAACUAGAUGGCAGCGUAAGGGACAUGCUAUGGUUACAACGGGUACAGAGGAUUAGGGUUCGAUCCUGGAGAGUGGGCCUGAGAGAUUGAGC
RNAcentral lists this ribosomal RNA (374 nucleotides) under uncultured myxomycete. RNAcentral describes it as "bacterial SSU rRNA". It matches the Rfam family "Eukaryotic small subunit ribosomal RNA", at positions 76 to 407 of the family's 1831-position model. The record is from RNAcentral. Lineage: Eukaryota; Evosea; Eumycetozoa.